Molecule: ribosomal RNA, 1311 nt
Filed under: uncultured bacterium
Lineage: Bacteria
Description: bacterial SSU rRNA
Rfam family: Bacterial small subunit ribosomal RNA
Source: RNAcentral
GAUGAACGCUGGCGGCGUGCCUAAUACAUGCAAGUCGUGCGGCAGCGCGAAGAAUUUAUUCUUUGGCGGCGAGCGGCGGACGGCUGAGUAACGCGUGGGAACGUGCCCCAAAGUGAGGAAUAAGCCAAGGAAACUUGGUCUAAUGCCGCAUAUGCUCUUCGGAGUAAAGCUUCGGCGCUUUGGGAGCGGCCCGCGUCCGAUUAGAUUGUUGGUGAGGUAAAGGCUCACCAAGUCGACGAUCGGUAGCUGGUCUGAGAGGAUGACCAGCCAGACUGGAACUGAGACACGGUCCAGACUCCUACGGGAGGCAGCAGUAAGGAAUCUUCCACAAUGGGGGCAACCCUGAUGGAGCAACGCCGCGUGCAGGAUGAAGGCCUUCGGGUCGUAAACUGCUUUUAUGAGUGAAGAAUAUGACGGUAACUCAUGAAUAAGGGUCGGCUAACUACGUGCCAGCAGCCGCGGUCAUACGUAGGACCCAAGCGUUAUCCGGAGUGACUGGGCGUAAAGAGUUGCGUAGGUGGUUAGUAAAGUGAAUAGUGAAAUCUGGCGGCUCAACCGUACAGGCUAUUAUUCAAACUCACUAACUCGAGAAUGGUAGAGGUAACUGGAAUUUCUAGUGUAGGAGUGAAAUCCGUAGAUAUUAGAAGGAACACCAAUGGCGUAGGCAGGUUACUGGACCAUUUCUGACACUGAGGCACGAAAGCGUGGGGAGCGAACCGGAUUAGAUACCCGGGUAGUCCACGCCGUAAACGAUGGAUACUAGCUGUUGGAGGUAUCGACCCCUUCAGUAGCGAAGCUAACGCGUUAAGUAUCCCGCCUGUGGAGUACGGUCGCAAGACUAAAACAUAAAGGAAUUGACGGGGACCCGCACAAGCGGUGGAUCGUGUUCUUUAAUUCGAUGAUAAACGAAGAACCUUACCAGGGUUUGACAUCCCGAGAAUUUUGCCGAAAGGCGAGAGUGCUUUAUUGAGCUCGGUGACAGAUGAUGCAUGGCCGUCGUCAGCUCGUGUCGUGAGAUGUUAGGUUAAGUCCUUUAACGAGCGCAACCCUUGUGAAUAGUUGUAUUUUUCUAUUCAGACUGCCCCGGUAACGGGGAGGAAGGAGGGGAUGAGGUCAGGUCAGUAUUUCUCUUACAUCCUGGGCUAGAAACACGAUACAAUGGUUAGUACAAUGCGCAGCGAAGCCGCGAGGUGAAGCAAAUCGCAUCAAAGCUAAUCCCAGUUCGGAUAAGAGGCUGAAACUCGCCUCUUUGAAGUCGGAAUCGCUAGUAAUCGCAAGUCAGCAAAUUGCGGUGAAUACGUUCCCGGGUCU